This 677-nucleotide ribosomal RNA is filed under the name uncultured Nocardioides sp. RNAcentral's name for it is "bacterial SSU rRNA". It matches the Rfam family "Bacterial small subunit ribosomal RNA", at positions 28 to 719 of the family's 1533-position model. Lineage: Bacteria; Bacillati; Actinomycetota; Actinomycetes; Propionibacteriales; Nocardioidaceae. The record is from RNAcentral.
GACGAACGCUGGCGGCGUGCUUAACACAUGCAAGUCGAGCGGUAAGGCCCUUUCGGGGGUACACGAGCGGCGAACGGGUGAGUAACACGUGAGUAAUCUGCCCUUCACUUCGGGAUAACUACCGGAAACGGUGGCUAAUACCGGAUAUGACCACUUCACGCAUGUGAUGGUGGUGGAAAGUUCCGGCGGUGGAGGAUGAACUCGCGGCCUAUCAGCUUGUUGGUGAGGUAGUGGCUCACCAAGGCUUCGACGGGUAGCCGGCCUGAGAGGGUGACCGGCCACACUGGGACUGAGACACGGCCCAGACUCCUACGGGAGGCAGCAGUGGGGAAUAUUGGACAAUGGGCGAAAGCCUGAUCCAGCAACGCCGCGUGAGGGAUGACUGCCUUCGGGUUGUAAACCUCUUUCAGCGCUGACGAAGCGAAAGUGACGGUAGGCGCAGAAGAAGCACCGGCCAACUACGUGCCAGCAGCCGCGGUAAUACGUAGGGUGCGAGCGUUGUCCGGAAUUAUUGGGCGUAAAGGGCUCGUAGGCGGUUAGUCACGUCGGGAGUGAAAGCUCGGAGCUUAACUCCGAGCCUGCUUCCGAUACGGGCUGACUAGAGGUAUGCAGGGGAGAACGGAAUUCCUGGUGUAGCGGUGAAAUGCGCAGAUAUCAGGAGGAACACCGGUGGCGAA